CUGGUCGAAGUUCAACUUUUACUGGUUGAGCUGAUUUUACCAGUCCAAUAUCAGUGCUAUAUCGAGACCACAGAUGUUCUGGCACGUGUUGUAGCAUGUCUUUUUUAUAGCGUCUGAGUCAAGUUUAGCACUGCAAAUUGACUCAUGUGUCAUCUGUACAGCUUGUGGCUGACCCUGUCCGUGAGCAGAGAUAACAAUCCUUAUGAACUGCUGAUCCUCACUCACCCAAAUAGCAGGAUUUUCCUUAACUUGUGUAAAAAUAGCUUUCUCUGCUUCUACCAUCAUUGAGCCUAUAUGCUUCUGUUCAUAGGUCUCAGCUACCAUCAAAGUCACGUGAGGAAUGCUUUCCUCGAUGUCAUGUUCUUUUUCAAGAUAUUCAUUACUCUCUAUCUUCAUAGCUGCUCCUUGUGGCCCCAAAAUUAUUGAACUGGAGCUAAGCUGGACUUGUUUUGGUUGCUGCUUCAACCAGUCUGCUGAGUUGGUCUGUGUAGCAUCUUUAAAAUACUUCAAUGUACAGUGGUAUGGAUACUCAGGUAAUUUCACCUCACUCAUAUUGGCCACAAUAAAUUUCUCCCACAGCUUUGCUGGCUCUAGCAACUCCUGGCUAAGG
Non-coding RNA from Xyrichtys novacula (pearly razorfish), 610 nucleotides. The record is from the annotation of a GenBank genome assembly. NCBI's taxonomy places the organism in Eukaryota, Metazoa, Chordata, Actinopteri, Labriformes, Labridae.